GUCGGGAAUAUUGCGCAAUGGAGGAAACUCUGACGCAGUGACGCCGCGUAUAGGAAGAAGGUUUUCGGAUUGUAAACUAUUGUCGUUAGGGAAGAAGAAAGACAGUACCUAAGGAGGAAGCCCCGGCUAACUAUGUGCCAGCAGCCGCGGUAAUACAUAGGGGGCAAGCGUUAUCCGGAAUUAUUGGGUGUAAAGGGUGCGUAGACGGGUGUUUAAGUUGGUUGUGAAAUCCCUCGGCUCAACUGAGGAACUGCAACCAAAACUGGAUAUCUUGAGUGUCGGAGAGGAAAGUGGAAUUCCUAGUGUAGCGGUGAAAUGCGUAGAUAUUAGGAGGAACACCAGUGGCGAAGGCGACUUUCUGGACGAUAACUGACGUUGAGGCACGAAAGUGUGGGGAGCAAACAGGAUUAGAAACCCUAGUAGUCC
This 426-nucleotide ribosomal RNA is filed under the name uncultured bacterium. Its description in RNAcentral is "bacterial SSU rRNA". It matches the Rfam family "Bacterial small subunit ribosomal RNA", at positions 354 to 796 of the family's 1533-position model. The record is from RNAcentral.